RNAcentral lists this ribosomal RNA (468 nucleotides) under uncultured bacterium. RNAcentral describes it as "partial 16S ribosomal RNA". It matches the Rfam family "Bacterial small subunit ribosomal RNA", at positions 28 to 507 of the family's 1533-position model. The record is from RNAcentral.
GACGAACGCUGGCGGCGUGCUUAACACAUGCAAGUCGAACGGAAAGGCCCUGCUUUUGUGGGAUGCUCGAGUGGCGAACGGGUGAGUAACACGUGAGUAACCUGCCCUUGACUUUGGGAUAACUUCAGGAAACUGGGGCUAAUACCGGAUAGGAGCUCCUGCUGCAUGGUGGGGGUUGGAAAGUUUCGGCGGUUGGGGAUGGACUCGCGGCUUAUCAGCUUGUUGGUGGGGUAGUGGCUUACCAAGGCUUUGACGGGUAGCCGGCCUGAGAGGGUGACCGGCCACAUUGGGAAUGAGAUACGGCCGAGCCUCCUACGGGAGGCAGCAGUGGGGAAUAUUGCACAAUGGGCGGAAGCCUGAUGCAGCAACGCCGCGUGCGGGAUGACGGCCUUCGGGUUGUAAACCGCUUUCGCCUGUGACGAAGCGUGAGUGACGGUAAUGGGUAAAGAAGCACCGGCUAACUACGUG